Molecule: ribosomal RNA, 515 nt
Filed under: uncultured bacterium
Lineage: Bacteria
Description: partial 16S ribosomal RNA
Rfam family: Bacterial small subunit ribosomal RNA
Source: RNAcentral
GAUGAACGCUGGCGGCGUGCCUAAUACAUGCAAGUCGAGCGAAUGGAUUAAGAGCUUGCUCUUAUGAAGUUAGCGGCGGACGGGUGAGUAACACGUGGGUAACCUGCCCAUAAGACUGGGAUAACUCCGGGAAACCGGGGCUAAUACCGGAUAACAUUUUGAACCGCAUGGUUCGAAAUUGAAAGGCGGCUUCGGCUGUCACUUAUGGAUGGACCCGCGUCGCAUUAGCUAGUUGGUGAGGUACCGGCUCACCAAGGCAACGAUGCGUGGCCGACCUGAGAGGGUGAUCGGCCACACUGGGACUGAGACACGGCCCAGACUCCUACGGGAGGCAGCAGUAGGGAAUCUGCCGCAAUUGACGAAAGUCUGACGGAGCAACGCCGCGUGAGUGAUGAAGGCUUUCGGGUCGUAAAACUCUGUUGUUAGGGAAGAACAAGUGCUAGUUGAAUAAGCUGGCACCUUGACGGUACCUAACCAGAAAGCCACGGCUAACUACGUGCCAGCAGCCGCAGUAA